CCAAUGAGAGAAUUUCAAGAUGAUUUUUGUCUUUUUGUUAUUAUUAUUGUUAUUAUUAUUUCCGAAUUUAAAUUUAUUAAACGAAUUUUUUUCUCUAGUUUAAGAAAAACACUCGGGUGGUCGACAUUCUCUCGAAUAUUAUUAAUUCCACGUAUUGUUUGCAUAGCAUUGAGAGCAGAGAGAGAGAAUACAAAGAGAAGAAACUCGAACUGCACAAAAGAUAAUAAUCGUGUGUGCGCUUUUUCUGACAGAAAUUAAAUUUUUUUUAUUUUUAUUUUUUUCAAACUAUUUUUUUUUUUAGCAGUUCAGACUUGGAGGGGUUAAAAACGCGAAUCUAAAUUGAAACGUAUACUGUAAAUGUACCUUCGAGAGUUAAGGUAUGUGUGUGUGUGUAUGUGCGUAUAUAUAAAUCAAUGGUAUUCUAAAUAUCUGCUAGGUUAUUUUCCAUUUCCGUUUCUGCAAUUGUUCGUCAUGUAUGUGUGUGUGUAAAGUCACAUAUAAAAUAGGCAUAAAAUAGGUUAGGCAUUCGGUAAUAGCAGAAGGUUAGAUUUGCCAUUUCCUCCAUAAUAGUUUAGAUGUGUUUGGUCAUCGUUUCCAUGGUAAUAUGUCAGACAAUUGUUGUUAAAUUGAGUUGAUAUCUAAUUACAUUAAUGAAAACAAGACUGUUUUACUUCUCCCUCAACUCGAGUUUUCUUAAUCACGUUUCGGAAGUUCCCAAUUUUUAUGCGUUAAUCUCGUCGCUCUUUUUUUUUUUUUUAACCAUUCGCGAAUUUUAUCAAUCAAAUUAGCUUUUAAUUCGUUAC
This 803-nucleotide long non-coding RNA is filed under the name Androctonus crassicauda. Lineage: Eukaryota; Metazoa; Arthropoda; Arachnida; Scorpiones; Buthidae. The record is from RNAcentral.